This 204-nucleotide long non-coding RNA is filed under the name Ananas comosus (pineapple). Its description in RNAcentral is "long non-coding RNA (ACOM_LNC021370)". The record is from RNAcentral. Lineage: Eukaryota; Viridiplantae; Streptophyta; Magnoliopsida; Poales; Bromeliaceae.
GCAGUAAACCGACUGUCCCUAGCGCAAGUGGCUAAGGGUUUGGUGGUUCGUACUCGAUGUCCUAAGUUCGAAUCCUAGUUGACUCACAUUUCGAGCUAAGUUUAUUUCUAAAUGAAAUAAACGAAACAGGUAGCAUGCUAGCUAUCUCUCUCAAAAAAAAAGUUUCAAUAAAGAAAGGCUCUUCCCUUAUCCUAUCACUAUACU